RNAcentral lists this long non-coding RNA (201 nucleotides) under Homo sapiens (human). Its description in RNAcentral is "HSALNT0285867". Lineage: Eukaryota; Metazoa; Chordata; Mammalia; Primates; Hominidae. The record is from RNAcentral.
UUAUCUCUUUCCACCGUCACCAGCUCCUCCGAACUGGCCCUCGGUCAAGGGUUUCACAGUGAUGUGGAAUGGCUUUUCCACAGUCGAAUCGCAUAUCUUCGGAGUGGGUUCAGACCGACUUGUGCUGUCUCUGGGGCCACCCUGAGUGGGAGGAGGGGGACACAUAAACGAAACGAAACCGAGUCCCAGUGUCACCUGGAC